Non-coding RNA from Paramisgurnus dabryanus, 1819 nucleotides. Lineage: Eukaryota; Metazoa; Chordata; Actinopteri; Cypriniformes; Cobitidae. The record is from RefSeq and is a predicted model, not a curated record.
CAGACCUACACAACUCAUUUACAAACCUACACAACUCAUUCACAAACCUUUUUGUGUCAAUAGGCUGUGGUCAAAUAAAGAGAGAGUCAACAAAUAGGCUAUUCAUAUUUAUUGUAUGAUUUAUUUCCUGUGAGCUUUUUUAUGCAAGUUUGUACAUUAGCAUGAAACUUACAGUGCAGUUUGCGUUUUUGGUGAAUAACCAGGUGUUUUCUUUAUUUUGUACAUUCUAUAUUGUCAAUGUUUAAUUUAACCUGAAGGGGCAUUAAAAACAAAUAAUCGCAAAAGUCCCCUCUGGUGGCGUAUAUAUGCGUUGCACCAUAAGUGAAAAGGAUUUUUUUUCAAACUGAGGAGUUCGGACUCCGGACCGGCAUUUCUGCUUGUUGGCCUGAGGUAAGUAAACUUUCUACAUUUUUGAAACGAUAUUACACUCUAAAAAACGUGAGCCAGUUGGGUUAUAUUGUUUGGUUGUUUUAUCAGUGUUGGGUAGUUUUUGUGUAACCCAACUUGUUGGGUUAUAUGUUGGGUAAUUUUGAAGCAGAGCCAGCUUAAUAGAUACAUAGCUGUUUCUCAAUAUUACUUUCUCUAGUCCACAAAAUGUAUUUUAAACAUAAGUUCAGGCGAGAAUAUAUAUGUAUAAUGUUCAAAUUUGCAGUCGGUUUGUAAAGUGAACGCCAAUUUUAAAGUUUAAUUACACAAAGUCGGAAUGUUACCGGCGUGACCACCGGGUGUCAGUGUUCUGCUUCCCCAGAGAGAACUGCUCCCUUCCCCCACACAGAGCAGCUGAACUUCUGCCUCUCACUGCAACGGUACCUGAAGCCGGAGUUUACUAUUCACCUCAGGAUUCAUGAACAGUUUUUCAUCGACUUAUCUCUGAUUUAUUUGAAGGAAAAGACCCUGAUGGAUAAAAGAUGGAUAUUUUUUCCUGGAGAAGCUAAAACAAUGUAACUUUGAGGUUCUGAUACCAGCUUUUACAAAGUUAUUUACAGAGUUCACCAGACUUCUCUGUGUUAUUUCCUGACCAUGCCGAAAAGCUAUUUGAAACUUGGGCAUUGCAUUUUCCAGACAGAAUCCUGCACUUCCCAGCCAAGAACCAGGAGCAUCAACAAAUCACCUACAGGUACACUUGGGAAUACAAUAGUUGUUUGCUGUGUAUUAUGACAAUAAAGUUACUAAUUUAACCUAAACAUUUAUCUCUACAGAACCCUAUGAUGAUAUUCCAACUCCUGUCUACAAAAGUGGGAAGAAAAUCUUAAGUCUAUGUUGGGACCAACAUGGUUGCAUUCUUCUGAGAGCCUGAUGUGACAAAACCAUUCCCAUUUGUCCUUGGAUUGGAAGAUGGCGAUCUCUGCCAUCAAGCCUUCGUUGUUUUUGACAGACAGUCACUCCAGCAAUACACCCUCCUUGGUGAUGUUGACAUGUUUUAAACUUUUUUUUAUGUUUUGGACAUUCAUUUUACUAAGCAGUGCACAUCAGUGUGGGUGUUUUUGAAGACUGUUGUUUACAAACUCCCAAGAACGGAAUCCCUUUCUAUAAGAAGUCUGUGUAGUUAUUUGUCAUGCUAAGGUGAUAACUCAUGUUGAUCAUAUAUUGACUGUUUGUGCAACUUUGUGUUGAUCUUAUGUGUUACAUUAACCAUUUCUUAUUACACGGUUCUCUAAAAUGCUAGAUUCUGAGUGGCCAGUCGUGACAUUCUACUACUGCUCAAAACUAAAAACUCCAAUGCUGCAAAUCAUUUUGACAGGUACAGUUUUAUAUUACACAAAAAUUAAAUAUCAAUGUCUAUUAAUUACAUAUCCGACAUUAAAUUUAUAAAUGAUUA